GCUUCAGAGACAAACCAUCCUCGAGGAGUGAACCAUAUGUGAAAGGAAAGAACACUGUUGGUGAACCAAACAAUGCUAGGCCAUUUGAAUCAUCCACUUUUCGACUGAUGCCACUAACAAUCCAGGAAGUAACACCUAAUUUUCCACCUCAACCAUUAGCUUUAGCCUCCAAUCAUGGUACUUUCGCCAUCUCAACGAACCCCAUGCAUUUUCCGAUGGCAAACCCUCAGCCUAGUCCACUGCCAAGGCCCAAUGGAAAGCAGGUUCUGCUCUAAACACAUAGAGUGCUGGGUGCAGUGAGUAAUGCCGCUUAUAUCUGGGAUCUUGUUCAGGGGUACAGCUCCUUUGGGUAGUAUCAAAUGAAGACAUGAUUAACACAUAAUAGAGAAAGAAUAAGAAGACGAGAGAAGGAAAUGAACCUGGCUCUGCUAGGAUUGUAACUUAUAAGGAUAAGCUGUACUGCAUCUCUGAGGAUCCCUUCUUGCAACAACAGUCAUCAAUAUUUUGCAGCCGCCAUCUUAACUUUUAAGAAUCGAGCAGCGGUUGCACUUGCACCAUAUGAUUUCCCACAGUUUAUUGGGUUCUUGUAAAAUAGUGACAACUAGAUGUUCAUUGAACUGUGAAGACUCAGAGUAUGAUGACAACUGAAUGCUGCUGAAGGAGUGAGAUCCAUGACAGUAUGGGUGCUCUAUCUUCCAGGGAAAUAUUGCUGGCAUUUAUCAUGUAACAUAGAAUUAGGUUAGAUGUAGAUAAAGUUGAAAGUUCCUAUUCUCUCUCCAACCAGUAGGGAAUCAGGUGUAGUUCUUGCUGUUGCCAUGUAAUAAUCUUUUUGUUGUGUCAUUGAUUGUUUAUUUUGGCCACAAAUAACAGCAUCUCAAUGAGUUGCACAGAACAGUUUUUUU
Long non-coding RNA from Lolium perenne, 902 nucleotides. RefSeq lists it as uncharacterized. NCBI's taxonomy places the organism in Eukaryota, Viridiplantae, Streptophyta, Magnoliopsida, Poales, Poaceae. The record is from RefSeq and is a predicted model, not a curated record.